UUCAAUCUACUUCAAGCCUUGGGAGACUUUUGAGCGGGCAGAACUGCAGGAAUUCUUCAGUUUGAAGGGACAGAAGUGGCUAUUCUCGAGGAUUUAGCAAGCUGGAACUAUGCUGUAAAAUUUGUUGAGGUUUUCAUAUUGGUGAAAACUCAGACUAUGUUUGUCUUGGCUUUUGCUGAACCAAAUUUGUAACGAGAAGGAUCUCGUUUUCAGAAGACUUAUUUUCUAAGUCUGAACUUUGGGAUUCUGAUCUAAAGCUGUUUUUUUCUCUUGGGAUCCAAGUGAACUUUUUCUUAUUUGUUUUUUUUUUGAUUGAUUGAUGAAUUGAAUGUCCUUUGUUUCUUUGCCUUCUUUCGCUUUUAUAAGAGAUCCUCCUAAGGAGGUCAUUUUUAAUCUUUUAAAUAAUGGGCGGCAAAAAGAUCUCUUAUAAUGUAAAGUAAGAAGGGUUUUUUAGAUAGGUUCUGAGCAGUCACCUCCUAAAACCAGUCCCUUCCCUGGUUUUCUGGGUGGCAGCUUUCUAAUUCAACCAACGCCACCGUCUGUGUGGGCUUUUUAUGGCGGUUUUGGCUCUUUUUCUUUUGUAUUUUCUGAGUGGUUCCCUGUUUCCCGUUCUAAUUUAGAAAGCGUGAUCCGUGAAUUUCUUGGGAGAUGGUGUAUUGAUUUGGAGCAAAAUCUUGAACACAGAUGGGUUUUUGAUCUUCAAUUGGCAGUGUUUCAGAGACGUCCCUCUCACAUUUUUAAAUUUUAGUUGAAAAUGCUGACUUUUCCAAAGCUGAGGCAAUCACGUGGGUGUGUCUUUGAUCCCUUGGUUUUGAAUCUAUCGAAAAUUACGGGCUGAUCUUUUGAAGUCCAUUUCGAAAGUUUCCACAUCUGGGCUUUCUUUGGGCUGAGGCUUUAUUUCCAACGUUCUUGGUGUGAAGCCCAAACUGUUUGGAUCUUAAUUUUUGUUUUUCUCAAGUCUCUGGGCUGGGCAGGCAAUUUUAUCAUGGGCCUGCCUUCUGGUCUUGGGCGUGCCGAAUUUGGGCCCAAACAAUAAUCUAUUAAAAAAAUAAUUGAAAAUGCAAGAAAAUAUAAAUAAAUUGAAAAUGCAAAAAAAAAACAAAAAAAAAAAUAUGCAAGGAAAAAAAAAAGGUGACAUUAAAUUGAAUAAAACGGCAUUUAUAAAUAUUUUACCUCGUCUGCAAGAUUUUGAUCGCUUCGAAUGUUGUCACUCGCUUUUCCCAACGCAU
Molecule: long non-coding RNA, 1229 nt
Filed under: Prunus persica (peach)
Lineage: Eukaryota; Viridiplantae; Streptophyta; Magnoliopsida; Rosales; Rosaceae
Description: long non-coding RNA (PPER_LNC006253)
Source: RNAcentral